GGAGAGAUGGCAGAGCGGACGAUUGCGUCGGUCUUGACAACCGUUGUACCAGCGAUGGUACCGGGGGUUCGAAUCCCCCUCUCUCCGCCA
RNAcentral lists this transfer RNA (90 nucleotides) under Actinomycetota bacterium. RNAcentral's name for it is "tRNA-Ser". It matches the Rfam family "tRNA". Rfam says of the family: Transfer RNA (tRNA) molecules are approximately 80 nucleotides in length. Their secondary structure includes four short double-helical elements and three loops (D, anti-codon, and T loops). The record is from RNAcentral. Lineage: Bacteria; Bacillati; Actinomycetota.